This 425-nucleotide ribosomal RNA is filed under the name uncultured bacterium. Its description in RNAcentral is "bacterial SSU rRNA". It matches the Rfam family "Bacterial small subunit ribosomal RNA", at positions 355 to 776 of the family's 1533-position model. The record is from RNAcentral.
UAAGGAAUAUUGGACAAUGGCCGCAAGGCUGAUCCAGCCAUCCAGCGUGCAGGAAGAAGGCCCUAUGGGUUGUAAACUGCUUUUGUCAGGGAAUAAACCUCUGGAUUUACUCCGGAGCUGAAGGUACCUGAAGAAUAAGCACCGGCUAACUCCGUGCCAGCAGCCGCGGUAAUACGGAGGGUGCGAGCGUUAUCCGGAAUUACUGGGUUUAAAGGGUGCGUAGGCGGCUUUGUAAGUCAGGAGUGAAAGUUUGCGGCUCAACCGUAAAAUUGCUUUUGAUACUGCGAGGCUAGAAUUAGGAUGAGGUUAGCGGAAUGUGGCAUGUAGCGGUGAAAUGCAUAGAUAUGCCAUAGAACACCAAUUGCGAAGGCAGCUGGCUAGACCUAUAUUGACGCUGAGGCACGAAAGCGUGGGGAGCGAACAGG